RNAcentral lists this ribosomal RNA (388 nucleotides) under uncultured bacterium. RNAcentral describes it as "partial 16S ribosomal RNA". It matches the Rfam family "Bacterial small subunit ribosomal RNA", at positions 523 to 918 of the family's 1533-position model. The record is from RNAcentral.
AUACGUAGGUGGCAAGCGUUAUCCGGAAUUAUUGGGCGUAAAGAGUGAGCAGGCGGUUAAUUAAGUCUGAGGUUAAAGCGUGGGGCUCAACCCCAUAAAGCCUUUGAAACUUGUUGACCAGAAGAAGGGAGAAGGGAAGGGGAAUCCAUGUGUAGCGGUGAAAUGCGUAGAUAUAUGGAAGAACACCAGGGGCGAAGGCGCCUCACUAGCCCGAAACUGACGCUCAGUCACGAAAGCGUGGGUAGCAAAUAGGAUUAGAUACCCUAGUAGUCCACGCUGUAAACGAUGACAACUAAAUAUUGCCGCGAGGCAGUGUUGAAGCUAACGCAUUAAGUUGUCCGCCUGGGGAGUACGGUCGCAAGACUGAAACUUAAAGGAAUUGACGGGG